GGGGAAUCUUGCACAAUGGGGGAAACCCUGAUGCAGCGACGCCGCGUGAACGAUGAAGCCCUUCGGGGUGUAAAGUUCUUUCGGCAGGGACGAUAAUGACGGUACCUGCAGAAGCAGCUGCGGCUAACUACGUGCCAGCAGCCGCGGUAAUACGUAGGCAGCAAGCGUUGUUCGGAAUUACUGGGCGUAAAGAGUGCGUAGGCGGUUGGCUAAGUUUGGUGUGAAAUCUCCCGGCUCAACUGGGAGGGUGCGCCGAAAACUGGCUAGCUAGAGUGCGGGAGGGGAUAGUGGAAUUCCUGGUGUAGCGGUGAAAUGCGUAGAUAUCAGGAGGAACACCUGAGGUGUAGACGGCUAUCUGGACCGUAACUGACGCUGAGGCACGAAAGCGUGGGGAGCAAAC
This 400-nucleotide ribosomal RNA is filed under the name uncultured bacterium. Its description in RNAcentral is "bacterial SSU rRNA". It matches the Rfam family "Bacterial small subunit ribosomal RNA", at positions 356 to 773 of the family's 1533-position model. The record is from RNAcentral.